RNAcentral lists this long non-coding RNA (249 nucleotides) under Elaeis guineensis (African oil palm). RNAcentral's name for it is "long non-coding RNA (EGUI_LNC036813)". The record is from RNAcentral. Lineage: Eukaryota; Viridiplantae; Streptophyta; Magnoliopsida; Arecales; Arecaceae.
GGGUCUGAUUAAGAUCGGGUCUUAGACCAGAAUAUCAGGUUUAUACGGUUCAAGUUGUCAGAUGAUCGGUAAUCUUUGGAAUCUCUCAUAAUCCUGUGCUAAUUGAUAAGCUUAUUCUAAGCUAUAGAUCUCAUGCAUGAACAGUUCUCUUUAUAUGUCAUCCCUUAAACCAGCUCUAAAUCAUGAUAAGGUGAUAGAUGGGUCUUCACUAACACCAUAUUGCAUAAGAUAUUCAUCAAAUUUGGUGAU